Non-coding RNA from Picea glauca (white spruce), 121 nucleotides. The record is from Rfam. Lineage: Eukaryota; Viridiplantae; Streptophyta; Pinopsida; Pinales; Pinaceae.
UUAUGUACUUUCCAAUAAUGUUAAUGCACUGGGUCCCAUUAGAAAACUAUAGUUAAGCGCGCUUGGGCUAGAGUAAUAUUGGAUGGGUGACCUAUUGGGAAGUCUUAGUGUUUUACAUACC